Molecule: long non-coding RNA, 587 nt
Filed under: Marmota monax (woodchuck)
Lineage: Eukaryota; Metazoa; Chordata; Mammalia; Rodentia; Sciuridae
Source: RNAcentral
CUCAAGUCCAGAUUCACAUGUCUCAGAUCUUAAGUUCAACAAGCCUCAGAUUCAAUUGCUAUUCCUGUCAGCCUGUUCCUCUUCUAGCCUAAUGGAACCACUCUGCAUUGGCCACAAUCACCAAAGCAACAAGCAAGCCAGGCAACACAUGUUCUAAUUUCACAUUUCAUUGCAAGAAAGUCCACAGCCUGCUGCAAGAGGUAUCAGCAAUAGCAUGACUUGAUUGUCCACGAUUCCCAGUUUGGGAACCCUGAAUUUCCUUUCUCCAUAUUAACACAUUCCAGAAGAGGAGAAAUGCCUUCCUGGUAAGGGAUAUAGAGCUUACCUGUAAACUGACUUUUAAUGUGCAUCCUCUGAGCAAACUGUCCCAUUCACAAAAACUCCCACCAGCACUAUAACUGCAUCCUUUACUAUCAUCACCUCUACAGUAAGAUGGUGAUGGUCCCCAUCACAUCCUGAACCAUCAGCAGAAAGCAGGGGCUCCAUAGAGAGGACUUAAUGCAGCUUUGUGCAUACCACCGUUGUCAAUGACGUGUCUACUCCUGGCUUAUCACUUUCCAAUUAGGAGAGCAUAAAACACAAGUAAG